GACGAACGCUGGCGGCGUGCUUAACACAUGCAAGUCGAACGGAAAGGCCCUGCUUUUGUGGGGUGCUCGAGUGGCGAACGGGUGAGUAACACGUGAGUAACCUGCCCUUGACUUUGGGAUAACUUCAGGAAACUGGGGCUAAUACCGGAUAGGAGCUCCUGCUGCAUGGUGGGGGUUGGAAAGUUUCGGCGGUUGGGGAUGGACUCGCGGCUUAUCAGCUUGUUGGUGGGGUAGUGGCUUACCAAGGCUUUGACGGGUAGCCGGCCUGAGAGGGUGACCGGCCACAUUGGGACUGAGAUACGGCCCAGACUCCUACGGGAGGCAGCAGUGGGGAAUAUUGCACAAUGGGCGGAAGCCUGAUGCAGCAACGCCGCGUGCGGGAUGACGACCUUCGGGUUGUAAGCCGCUUUCGCCUGUGACGAAGCGUGAGUGACGGUAAUGGGUAAAGAAGCACCGGCUAACUACGUG
RNAcentral lists this ribosomal RNA (468 nucleotides) under uncultured bacterium. RNAcentral describes it as "partial 16S ribosomal RNA". It matches the Rfam family "Bacterial small subunit ribosomal RNA", at positions 28 to 507 of the family's 1533-position model. The record is from RNAcentral.